RNAcentral lists this ribosomal RNA (477 nucleotides) under uncultured bacterium. Its description in RNAcentral is "bacterial SSU rRNA". It matches the Rfam family "Bacterial small subunit ribosomal RNA", at positions 40 to 507 of the family's 1533-position model. The record is from RNAcentral.
CGGCAUGCCUAACACAUGCAAGUCGAACGGCAGCGCAGUCGUAGCAAUACGAUGGGCGGCGAGUGGCGGACGGGUGAGGAAUACAUCGGAAUUUGCCCAGUCGUGGGGGAUAACGUAGGGGAGACUUACGCUAAUACCGCAUACGACCUUCGGUNAAAGGCGGGGGAUCGCAAGACCUCGCGCGGAUGGAUAAGCCGAUGUCGGAUUAGCUAGUUGGCGGGGUAAGAGCCCACCAAGGCGACGAUCCGCAGCUGGUCUGAGAGGAUGAUCAGCCACACUGGGACUGAGACACGGCCCAGACUCCUACGGGAGGCAGCAGGUGGGAAUAUUGGACAUGGGGCAACCCUGAUCCAGCAAUGCCGCGUGUGUGAAGAAGGCCUUCGGGUUGUAAAGCACUUUUGUCCGGAACGAAACGUGGCAGGUGAAUAGCCUGUCAAACUGACGGUACCGGAAGAAUCAGCACCGGCUAACUUCGUG